Molecule: ribosomal RNA, 377 nt
Filed under: Escherichia coli
Lineage: Bacteria; Pseudomonadati; Pseudomonadota; Gammaproteobacteria; Enterobacterales; Enterobacteriaceae
Description: partial 23S ribosomal RNA
Rfam family: Bacterial large subunit ribosomal RNA
Source: RNAcentral
UUAAGCGUGUAGGCUGGUUUUCCAGGCAAAUCCGGAAAAUCAAGGCUGAGGCGUGAUGACGAGGCACUGCGGUGCUGAAGCAACAAAUGCCCUGCUUCCAGGAAAAGCCUCUAAGCAUCAGGUAACAUCAAAUCGUACCCCAAACCGACACAGGUGGUCAGGUAGAGAAUACCAAGGCGCUUGAGAGAACUCGGGUGAAGGAACUAGGCAAAAUGGUGCCGUAACUUCGGGAGAAGGCACGCUGAUAUGUAGGUGAAGUCCCUCGCGGAUGGAGCUGAAAUCAGUCGAAGAUACCAGCUGGCUGCAACUGUUUAUUAAAAACACAGCACUGUGCAAACACGAAAGUGGACGUAUACGGUGUGACGCCUGCCCGGUGC